Molecule: ribosomal RNA, 497 nt
Filed under: uncultured bacterium
Lineage: Bacteria
Description: partial 16S ribosomal RNA
Rfam family: Bacterial small subunit ribosomal RNA
Source: RNAcentral
GACGAACGCUGGCGGCGUGCCUAAUACAUGCAAGUUGAGCGCUGAAGGUUGGUACUUGUACCAACUGGAUGAGCAGCGAACGGGUGAGUAACGCGUGGGGAAUCUGCCUUUGAGCGGGGGACAACAUUUGGAAACGAAUGCUAAUACCGCAUAAAAACUUUAAACACAAGUUUUAAGUUUGAAAGAUGCAAUUGCAUCACUCAAAGAUGAUCCCGCGUUGUAUUAGCUAGUUGGUGAGGUAAAGGCUCACCAAGGCGAUGAUACAUAGCCGACCUGAGAGGGUGAUCGGCCACAUUGGGACUGAGACACGGCCCAAACUCCUACGGGAGGCAGCAGUAGGGAAUCUUCGGCAAUAGACGAAAGGCUGAACGAGCAACGCCGCGUGAGGGAAGAAGGGUUUCGGAUCGUAAAACUCUGUUGGUAGAGAAGAACGUUGGUGAGAGUGGAAAGCUCAUCAAGUGACGGUAACUACCCAGAAAGGGACGGCUAACUACGUG